GUUGAUAAAUACAUCACAAUCAGAAUAGGGAUUUUGCCCACAACUGAUGAUGUUUUUUUGGUUAACCUUCCAUUCAGGGAACAUAAACCAUAUUUAUUGAAAAUAAAACGUGCUCAAUGGAUCACUAUAGACUUAAAAUAGAAUAGGGAUUUUGCCCAAGUCUAUUUGAUUAAUGUUGACAUGUUUCAUACAGGAAACAUAGGAACUAGAAC
This 212-nucleotide long non-coding RNA is filed under the name Mytilus galloprovincialis (Mediterranean mussel). Lineage: Eukaryota; Metazoa; Mollusca; Bivalvia; Mytilida; Mytilidae. The record is from RNAcentral.